Molecule: ribosomal RNA, 440 nt
Filed under: uncultured bacterium
Lineage: Bacteria
Description: partial 16S ribosomal RNA
Rfam family: Bacterial small subunit ribosomal RNA
Source: RNAcentral
CCUACGGGUGGCAGCAGUGGGGAAUAUUGCACAAUGGGGGAAACCCUGAUGCAGCGACGCCGCGUGAGUGAAGAAGUAUUUCGGUACGUAAAGCUCUAUCAGCAGGGAAGAAAAUGACGGUACCUGACUAAGAAGCCCCGGCUAACUACGUGCCAGCAGCCGCGGUAAUACGUAUGGAGCAAGCGUUAUCCGGAUUUACUGGGUGUAAAGGGAGCGCAGACGGCAGGGCAAGUCUGAUGUGAAAGUCCGGGGCUAAACCCCGGGACUGCAUUGGAAACUGUCCGGCUAGAGUGCAGGAGAGGUAAGUGGAAUUCCUAGUGUAGCGGUGAAAGGCGUAGAUAUUAGGAGGAACACCAGUGGCGAAGGCGGCUUACUGGACUGUAACUGACGUUGAGGCUCGAAAGCGUGGGGAGCAAACAGGAUUAGAUACCCCUGUAGUC